GAUCUAGCUUGCUAGAUGCUCACGAGCGGUAGACGGGUGAGUAAUGCAUAGGAAUCUGCCCGAUAGUGGGGGAUAACCUGGGGAAACCCAGGCUAAUAGCGCAUACGUCCUACGGGAGAAAGGGGGCUUCGGCUCCCGCUAUUGGAUGAGCCUAUGUCGGAUUAGCUAGUUGGUGAGGUAAAGGCUCACCAAGGCUGCGAUCCGUAGCUGGUCUGAGAGGAUGAUCAGCCACAUCGGGACUGAGACACGGCCCGAACUCCUACGGGAGGCAGCAGUGGGGAAUAUUGGACAAUGGGGGCAACCCUGAUCCAGCCAUGCCGCGUGUGUGAAGAAGGCCCUCGGGUUGUAAAGCACUUUCAGCGAGGAAGAACGCCUGGUGGUUAAUACCCACCAGGAAAGACAUCACUCGCAGAAGAAGCACCGGCUAACUCCGUGCCAGCAGCCGCGGUAAUACGGAGGGUGCAAGCGUUAAUCGGAAUUACUGGGCGUAAAGCGCGCGUAGGUGGCUUGAUAAGCCGGUUGUGAAAGCCCCGGGCUCAACCUGGGAACGGCAUCCGGAACUGUCAGGCUAGAGUGCAGGAGAGGAAGGUAGAAUUCCCGGUGUAUCUGGUGAUAUGCGUAGAGAUCGGGAGGAAUACCAGUGGCGAAGUCGGCCUUCUGGACUGACACUGACUCUGAGGUUCGAAAGCGUGGGUAGCAAACAGGAUUAG
RNAcentral lists this ribosomal RNA (710 nucleotides) under uncultured bacterium. Its description in RNAcentral is "bacterial SSU rRNA". It matches the Rfam family "Bacterial small subunit ribosomal RNA", at positions 72 to 781 of the family's 1533-position model. The record is from RNAcentral.